Molecule: ribosomal RNA, 255 nt
Filed under: Escherichia marmotae
Lineage: Bacteria; Pseudomonadati; Pseudomonadota; Gammaproteobacteria; Enterobacterales; Enterobacteriaceae
Description: partial 23S ribosomal RNA
Rfam family: Bacterial large subunit ribosomal RNA
Source: RNAcentral
UAAGCGUACACGGUGGAUGCCCUGGCAGUCAGAGGCGAUGAAGGACGUGCUAAUCUGCGAUAAGCGUCGGUAAGGUGAUAUGAACCGUUAUAACCGGCGAUUUCCGAAUGGGGAAACCCAGUGUGAUCCGUCACACUAUCAUUAACUGAAUCCAUAGGUUAAUGAGGCGAACCGGGGGAACUGAAACAUCUAAGUACCCCGAGGAAAAGAAAUCAACCGAGAUUCCCCCAGUAGCGGCGAGCGAACGGGGAGGAG